This 492-nucleotide ribosomal RNA is filed under the name uncultured bacterium. RNAcentral's name for it is "partial 16S ribosomal RNA". It matches the Rfam family "Bacterial small subunit ribosomal RNA", at positions 29 to 507 of the family's 1533-position model. The record is from RNAcentral.
AGUGAACGCUGGCGGUAGGCCUAACACAUGCAAGUCGAACGGCAGCACAGUAAGAGCUUGCUCUUACGGGUGGCGGGUGGCGGACGGGUGAGGAAUACAUCGGAAUCUACUUUUUCGUGGGGGAUAACGUAGGGAAACCUACGCUAAUACCGCAUACGACCUACGGGUGAAAGCAGGGGAUCUUCGGACCUUGCGCGAUUGAAUGAGCCGAUGUCGGAUUAGCUAGUUGGCGGGGUAAAGGCCCACCAAGGCGACGAUCCGUAGCUGGUCUGAGAGGAUGAUCGGCCACACUGGAACUGAGACACGGUCCAGACUCCUACGGGAGGCAGCAGUGGGGAAUAUUGGACAAUGGGCGCAAGCCUGAUCCAGCCAUACCGCGUGGGUGAAGAAGGCCUUCGGGUUGUAAAGCCCUUUUGUUGGGAAAGAAAAGCAGCAGGUUAAUACCCCGCUGUUCUGACGGUACCCAAAGAAUAAGCACCGGCUAACUUCGUG